RNAcentral lists this non-coding RNA (276 nucleotides) under Stegodyphus mimosarum. RNAcentral's name for it is "eukaryotic small subunit ribosomal RNA". It matches the Rfam family "Eukaryotic small subunit ribosomal RNA", at positions 1184 to 1433 of the family's 1831-position model. Lineage: Eukaryota; Metazoa; Arthropoda; Arachnida; Araneae; Eresidae. The record is from Rfam by way of RNAcentral.
UGCGGCUUAAUUUGAUUCAACAUGGAAAAACUUACCCGGCCCGGACACAGGAAGGACUGACAGAUUAAGAGCUCUUUCUUGAUUCUGUGGGUGGUGGUGCAUGGCAGUUCUUAGUUGUUGGAGCGAUUUGUCUGGUUAAUUCCGAUAACGAGCGAGACUCUAACCUACUAAAUAGACGCUUCGAUUCUUCCAGUUGGACGUUCUUCUUAGAGGGACAAGCAGCUGCACGAGACAGAGCAGUAACAUAAGACGUGCUCAAACACGAAUACUCACGUG